RNAcentral lists this unclassified non-coding RNA (254 nucleotides) under uncultured Acidimicrobiia bacterium. RNAcentral's name for it is "contains 16S-23S intergenic spacer region". It matches the Rfam family "Bacterial small subunit ribosomal RNA", at positions 524 to 776 of the family's 1533-position model. Lineage: Bacteria; Bacillati; Actinomycetota; Acidimicrobiia. The record is from RNAcentral.
UACGUAGGCACCAAGCGUUGUCCGGAUUUAUUGGGCGUAAAGAGCUCGUAGGCGGUUUUGUAAGUCGGGUGUGGAAACUCUGGGCUCAACCCAGAGAGGCCACUCGAUACUGCAAUGACUUGAGUACGGUAGGGGAGCGGGGAAUUCCUGGUGUAGCGGUGAAAUGCGCAGAUAUCAGGAGGAACACCAGUGGCGAAGGCGCCGCUCUGGGCCGUAACUGACGCUGAGGAGCGAAAGCGUGGGUAGCAAACAGG